ACCGUCUGACGAGUCCUAAAUAGGACGAAAUGCGCAUCUUGUAU
Molecule: non-coding RNA, 44 nt
Filed under: Trichobilharzia regenti
Lineage: Eukaryota; Metazoa; Platyhelminthes; Trematoda; Strigeidida; Schistosomatidae
Source: RNAcentral